GACGAACGCUGGCGGCGUGCUUAACACAUGCAAGUCGAGCGGUAAGGCCCUUUCGGGGGUACACGAGCGGCGAACGGGUGAGUAACACGUGGGUGACCUGCCCUCAGCUCUGGGAUAAGCCUGGGAAACCGGGUCUAAUACUGGAUAUGACUCCAUGACGCAUGUUGUGGGGUGGAAAGCCUUGUGCGGCUGAGGAUGGGCCCGCGGCCUAUCAGCUUGUUGGUGGGGNGAUGGCCUACCAAGGCGACGACGGGUAGCCGGCCUGAGAGGGCGACCGGCCACACUGGGACUGAGACACGGCCCAGACUCCUACGGGAGGCAGCAGUGGGGAAUCUUGCGCAAUGGGCGAAAAGCCUGACGCAGCGACGCCGCGUGAGGGAUGACGGCCU
This 389-nucleotide ribosomal RNA is filed under the name uncultured bacterium. RNAcentral describes it as "bacterial SSU rRNA". It matches the Rfam family "Bacterial small subunit ribosomal RNA", at positions 28 to 417 of the family's 1533-position model. The record is from RNAcentral.